CUUGUUUUGAAGUUGAUAAAUUGGGAGUAUCGUACCUAUAUAAACCAAUGAAAAAAAACACAUCUCAGUGAUGAAUUACAUGAUAAUGUGGACUCCAGCAAGCGAAGGAAAACGUGAUUGUCUGGUAAAUCACAUAAGAUUGGUUGCAUGCUACUGAUGCAAGUCCAGAAUUAUCUUUGAUCAAGAGAUUACAAAAUCAUAAAACUGAUUUACAUGUCUUUAUUUGAAAUAUUCUUGUCUGCAACGUCCUCUUGCAAAGCUUGAUUUUUUUUCCACCUACAAAAAUUAGAAAAUUUUGUUU
Xenia sp. Carnegie-2017 is the source of this 301-nucleotide long non-coding RNA. RefSeq lists it as uncharacterized. The transcript is spliced from 2 exons. The record is from RefSeq and is a predicted model, not a curated record. Lineage: Eukaryota; Metazoa; Cnidaria; Anthozoa; Malacalcyonacea; Xeniidae.